UACGUAGGGACCAAGCGUUAUCCGGAAUUAUUGGGCGUAAAGAGCUCGUAGGCGGUUUGUCGCGUCUGCCGUGAAAGUCCGGGGCUCAACUCCGGAUCUGCGGUGGGUACGGGCAGACUAGAGUGAUGUAGGGGAGACUGGAAUUCCUGGUGUAGCGGUGAAAUGCGCAGAUAUCAGGAGGAACACCGAUGGCGAAGGCAGGUCUCUGGGCUGUAACUGACGCUGAGAUGCGAAAGCGUGGGGAGCAAACAGG
Molecule: ribosomal RNA, 253 nt
Filed under: uncultured bacterium
Lineage: Bacteria
Description: partial 16S ribosomal RNA
Rfam family: Bacterial small subunit ribosomal RNA
Source: RNAcentral